This 658-nucleotide long non-coding RNA is filed under the name Mus pahari (shrew mouse). RNAcentral's name for it is "lncRNA (MGP_PahariEiJ_G0003753.1)". Lineage: Eukaryota; Metazoa; Chordata; Mammalia; Rodentia; Muridae. The record is from RNAcentral.
UGCUUUUGGGCUUGAGGAACUGUAACGGCAUGGCUCAGACAGUGCGUUGGAAUGACAGUGUCAUUAUCAUCUAAUGAAAAUCUGACUUUGGUCCUCAGAGAAGGUCACUGGAAAGGGGACCCGAAGACGUAGUUUCAAGAGUGUUCCUGAUGCAGCUGGCUCCUGCCAGCCUCCACCCCGCCUGCCAGCACUCUGCUCUGCUGUUAAUCACAACAGCACAGUGAAAGUGAGGUGCAUGUUAAGGAGGCAUGGCCUCAUCUACCCAGAGAAUCCUGCUCUGCUCGAAGGCCUCCAGACACUUGUACACACAGCUCUUCCAACAGACAAUCCACGACUGUUCACAGCCACCAGCAAGCAGACUUGGCAGUUGGGAGAAGAAUACGUACAGACUGAUGGACGGACAGAGACCAGACCUGAGAGCAACAGCUCUGAUCCUUGCCCUAGGGACCAAGAGCUGGUCUACCAAUGGAGUGAGGAUGACGGGGACAGACCAGACAGGGCUCCAGAAGCUAUACUGAGAAACUGGAGUUCUAUAAUUAAGGGCGCUGUAGAAGAGCACUUGACUUGGAAGUCCAGGGUGGCACCUGAUAAGUGUGGCCACUAUAGCCAGGCUGAGGCAGCAACUGUGACUGUGCUAAAUGAAUAAAUGAUUGACUGU